RNAcentral lists this ribosomal RNA (497 nucleotides) under uncultured bacterium. RNAcentral describes it as "bacterial SSU rRNA". It matches the Rfam family "Bacterial small subunit ribosomal RNA", at positions 28 to 521 of the family's 1533-position model. The record is from RNAcentral.
GAUGAACGCUGGCGGCGUGCAUAACACAUUCAAGUCGAACGGAGUUUAUGGAAGGAAGUCUUCGGAUGGAAUGAAGUAAGCUUAGUGGCGGACGGGUGAGUAACGCGUGAGCAACCUGCCUUGGCAUGGGGGAUAACGUUUGGAAACGGACGCUAAUACCGCAUAUCGCAUAGGGACCGCAUGAUUCUUAUGCAAAAGAUUUAUUGUGCUAAGAUGGGCUCGCGUCCCAUUAGAUAGUUGGUGAGGUAACGGCCCACCAAGUCGACGAUGGGUAGCCGAACUGAGAGGUUGAACGGCCACAUUGGAACUGAGAUACGGUCCAGACUCCUACGGGAGGCAGCAGUGGGGGAAUAUUGGGCAAUGGGCGAAAGCCUGACCCAGCGACGCCGCGUGAGGGAAGAAGGUCUUCGGAUUGUAAACUCCUGUCCUCAGGGAAGAGCAGAAGACGGUACCUGAGGAGGAAGCCCCCGGGCUAACUACGUGCCAGCAGCCGCGGU